Molecule: ribosomal RNA, 434 nt
Filed under: uncultured bacterium
Lineage: Bacteria
Description: bacterial SSU rRNA
Rfam family: Bacterial small subunit ribosomal RNA
Source: RNAcentral
AACGCGAAGAACCUUACCUCGGCUCGAAUGCGGUGGAUAAGUCCUAGAGAUAGGGCGAUCCGAGUAAUCGGCUCCUGCCUCCAAGGUGCUGCAUGGCUGUCGUCAGCUCGUGUCGUGAGAUGUUGGGUUAAGUCCCGCAACGAGCGCAACCCUUACCUUGAGUUACCAUCAUUAAGUUGGGGACUCUAGCGGAACUGCCGGUGAUAAACCGGAGGAAGGUGGGGAUGACGUCAAGUCCUCAUGGCCCUUAUGUCCAGGGCUACCCACGUGCUACAAUGGACGGUACAAACCGCUGCGAAGUCGCGAGAUGGAGCUAAUCGGAAAAAACCGUUCUCAGUUCGGAUUGCAGUCUGCAACUCGACUGCAUGAAGUGGAAUCGCUAGUAAUCGCAGAUCAUCAUGCUGCGAAUACCUUCCCGGGUCUUGUACACACCG